This 298-nucleotide small nuclear RNA is filed under the name Microcebus murinus (gray mouse lemur). Its description in RNAcentral is "7SK RNA (ENSMICG00000036113.2)". It matches the Rfam family "7SK RNA". Rfam says of the family: 7SK was discovered as an abundant small nuclear RNA in the mid-70s but a possible function has only recently been suggested. Lineage: Eukaryota; Metazoa; Chordata; Mammalia; Primates; Cheirogaleidae. The record is from Rfam by way of RNAcentral.
AGAUGUGAAGGUGAUCUGGCUGUGACAUCUGUCACCCCACCGAUCGCCAGGGUUGAUUCAACUGAUCUGGCUGGGUAAGGCAGGUGUCCGCUUCCCCUCACCCCACUCCAUGUGCAUCCCUCCCGGAGCUGCAUGCUCGGUUGAAAGGGCGACCUUCCCCAAUAGAGGAGGACCGUUCUUUGGUCAAGGGUAUACAAGUAGCACACUCCUGCUAGAACCUCCAAACAAGCUCUCAGGGUAUUUGAGAAUUAUCAAAAUAUAUUAUUAAAGAAAACCCUGAGUUGAUUACACAAUAUCA